GGGCCCGCACAAGCGGUGGAGCAUGUGGUUUAAUUCGAUGAUACGCGAGGAACCUUACCAGGGCUUAAAUGGGAAAUGACAGGGGCAGAGACGCCCCCUUCUUCGGACAUUUUUCAAGGUGCUGCAUGGUUGUCGUCAGCUCGUGCCGUGAGGUGUCAGGUUAAGUCCUAUAACGAGCGCAACCCCUGUUGUUAGUUGCCAGCGAGUCAUGUCGGGAACUCUAACAAGACUGCCGGUGCAAACCGUGAGGAAGGUGGGGAUGACGUCAAAUCAUCACGGCCCUUACGUCCUGGGCUACACACGUGCUACAAUGGUAGGUACAGAGGGAAGCCACCCCGCGAGGGGGAGCGGGAUCUACAAAACCUAUCUCAGUUCGGAUCGGAGUCUGCAACUCGACUCCGUG
Molecule: ribosomal RNA, 403 nt
Filed under: uncultured bacterium
Lineage: Bacteria
Description: bacterial SSU rRNA
Rfam family: Bacterial small subunit ribosomal RNA
Source: RNAcentral